ACCAGAAUUUCAAUGUUUUUCAUGCUGCUUUGGAUUGAAUUUACUCCCAGGUCACAUAUAACACCAGAAGAGAACUUUGAGUUUUAUUUCCUCAAGAACAACCACAUCAGAAAGUCAGACACGACAGCAUAUAUAUGUUUGCUGUCAUAUCUGAUUAUCAGGUGUAUAUAUAUAUAUAUAUAUAUAUACUCAUAUAUAUGUGUACAUAUGGUGUGUAUGUAAAUAUAUGUAAGACAGAAAACUCUACUACUAAUAUCUGUUAGUUCAUCAGAAAGAACAGUUUGUGUUUUCAUUGUUUGAUGAUUUGAUCAUUUUUCUCAGGCCUAAAUCCAAUAAUCUAAAUAAUUCCUUUCAAGAUAACAAUAUUAAAUGAUUUAAUUUGUGUUAAUUUCCCACUUUUUUUGGAAACACUAAAUAUUACAGCCAAUGACAGUAAACCUAACCAUUCUUACUAUGAAAGAGUAUCAGAUUAAAUAGGUGCUGACACUGAAUUCUGACACAUUGUCCCUUUAAAAAUUAGUCACUGGAAAGAAUUGCUAGUAAUGGCACACUGCUGAUCAUUUCAUGGUUUGCUACACAAAAACUAUGAAACUCCACUUGAGAUUUAGCCUGUGUGAUGAGGAGUGAAUUCUCAAUUCUGUUAAUAAGUGCAUUAUCUUUCUUGUGAAUCCUGCAGGCAAGAAGUAUUUCAUGGAGGCAAAUUGUUGCGUGACCAACGAGGAUCACUCCAGGGGAAGUGGGAUCGUUCACAACUGUUCCUGUCUAUUGCUGUGGGAGUUUCUUGAGACUGACAGAGACAGGGGAAAAUGCCCAGAUGUGGAACUGCUGUAUCAAAUAGAAUCUCUAAUCCUAGUUUUUUGAGGAGUCUCCACAUUGAUUUCCAAAGUGGUUGCACCAGUCUACACUCCCACCAACAGUGGAGCAGAUUUCCUCUUUCCCCACAAUCUUGCCAACAUUUACUGUCAGUUGAUUUCUUGAUGGCAGCCAUUCUUUCUGGAGUGAGAUGAAACCUCAAUGCUGUUUGAAUUUGCAUUUCUCUAGUGACCAGUGAUAUUGAUUAUUUCCCUGUGUAUUUAUUUGUCAUUUGUAUUUCUUCAUCUGAGAAGUGUGUGUCUAUCUCAGAUGCCCAUCUUUGGAGUGGGUCUUUGAAUUGGGGUGGCCUGAUGUUUUUCAAUUCUUUAUAUGAUCUGGAUAUAAGUUCUUUGUCUGAGGGACAGAUGGCUAAGUUCUUUUGCAUUCUGUGAAUUUUCUACUCAUAAAUGAAAUAAAUCAAUGUAAAUGUCACAUUGUGUCCUAGUGUGAAAAAAUUGAUAAAAAAGUGGAAGAGACAUAAGAUCCAAAUUGUACAAUAGAUAUUGCAAUAAUGAGAGGAAAAGAAAGUGCUCUAAAGGAAAGAACAACUGGGUAGGGGAAAGGAGAAAAGAAAGAAAGGAAUAUACAUAUAUAUAUAUAUAUAUAUAUAUAUAUAUAUAUUUGUGUGUGUGUGUGUGUGUGCACGCACAUAUAACUGUAUGCAUAGGUGUACUAGGUAUAUAACUGUACUAAUAAUCAAUAACUAUACUAUUAAUUCUGUUAGUUCAUCAAAAAGAAUAGUUUGUACCAUCAUUUUUGUCUGUUUGUUUUUUAUAUCUACAUCUUAUAAUUUGUACAACUACUUCUAAGAUAAUAAUAUGCAAUAUGUUAACUAGCUUUGAUUUCUUACUGUUUUUAUUUUUUGAAAUUCUGUAUUAUUUCUUCUCUUUUUCUGUCUCACUUUUUAAAUGAAAGAUGGAUUUCUUAGAGACGGAUAAUAACUCAGGUAGAUAUUGACUUUGAACACCACUCAUUUAGAAAGGAGGAUUCUGCUAAGGAAAUUAGAGUAAAGAGUUGCUAUAGUCCAGAACUUACUGACUCAAAUACUUUCAAUUUUAUGCUAAUGUUCUUUUUCAGAACAUAAAAAGCAAUAGGUGAGAGAUAAAAGUGAAAUGUGAUUCAUAUGACAUUCUUCACAGAUGGUUACAAUGAUGGAGAAAUUAUGAAGGCCUUCUAUUUAAACAGCUAGUUGUAUCUUUAGGUGGUGUGUUUUUGUUUGCUUUUCACCACUGAGACUAAGAUCACCAAGAUUAAAAUAGUAAUAAAAUGAAAACAUGUUUUUGGCUCACGACUUCAGAGAGUUCAGUUCAUGGCGCUUGGGCACCAUGCUUUGAGUCUCUGGUAAACUGCAUGCCGUGGUGGACGCACAUGGUAAAGGAGUCUUCUUACCUCAUGGUACACAGGAAACAAAGAAAAGGAUGAGCUAAAAUGAGGCCAUUCCCUUCUGGGACACACAUCCCUAAUGCCUUCAAUUUCUCCUGUCAUGACCUACCUGGUGAACUCUCCAACAUUAACCAAUAAGCUCCCUGAGUAGAUGCCCACACCCUUCAAACAUGGUCUUUUGAGAAAACACUGCAAAUUGAAACUACAAGCCUUUCUUUCAAACAUGGUCUUUCUGGAGACCCUGGAAAUCAAAUCAUACUUUUCUUUUUUCCCACAUCUUUAAUUUCUUAUAUUUUAUAAAAGACAAAACUAAAAUGCUCAAUACAUGCAGAAGCACUAGGGAGACAGGAAGGGAAAUAGACGUGUAAUAAUUUCAGAUAACAUCUGUGUACACAUUGUUGAUUCUGGUUCCUGCUAUGCUUUGGUACUGAAAAGACAAUUAUUUGGGAAGAACGAUGUUACAUAUUUUGUACAAGGUACCCAGAAGGGAAAAAGUCACUCCCUGGAAAUGUUUAUCAAUGACCUAAGAAAGCAUUUAUGACUGCUGUUGUAGUCAGGGGUUAUGCAGAGAAAAAUUAGACUCAGGACAUGGAGUUUAUAAUAUUAUUUUUAUAACAGUUACCAGGAGUUAACACAAGAAAAUGUAGGAAAUCUAUCUGCAACACCAAAGACAUAGAAUAUUUAGUCAAGGGCCUAAAUCCCACAGCAAUGUCCCACAUGAGUCCAAAUGAAGACCCAGAGCUCAUGACCAUGCGUCCCACGAGUCCAACUGGAGGUCCAGAGCCCACAAAAAGGACUCACCCAGUCUCUUUUACAGAUCCAUGCUGUGAAGUUCCAAAGGUCAAUGGUGGAAGACAGAAAGUCCAUGCCAGUGGGGUGAAGGAGCUGUGCUGGUGGGAUGAGGGUUCUAGGCUGGAGCCGAGAAGUCACACUCACAACAAAGACCAGGGAUGCCCUGCAAAUCACCACAGCCAUCCUCAGCAACACAGAGGCCCUGAGCUCCUCCGAGGACAAGCACAGUCAGGUACAUGCCAGGAAGCCAGAAUGACGAGUUCAUCCUGGAGACCAAGUGGCACACAUCUUCCCCUCCGGGGCCAGGAAGCAGUGCUCAAUGUGAGGACCAGAGCUUCUCCAGGAGAUCUAAUGGCUCAAACAGCAACAUGUAGGAGAACCCACAAUGCCUCCAUGCAACAACACAUUAACACCUCGAUGCCUUAACAACCUCCUUCUCCUUCUCUACCUGUCUAUGCUGGCAGCUUUCCUCAGGUGGAGCAUCUACACUCAGUGCCAUGCUGGUGUUAAGUUGACCACCAGUUCUUAAUCCAUAACAAAGGCUUUAUUUGGAAACCAUGCCACAUAUUUCUGCACUGUGGUCUUCUGCAUUAAAACACGUUAAUAACCACCACCCAUCCCAGUCUGAGAAAUUCUAACUCAGUGUCUGGGGUCAGAGUUGUUUUUAUUUGCUUACUGUGUAGUUCAUGUGCACUUGUCUUGGAGUUCACACGAGAAGAAUAAUCAAAUACCUCUUCGUUUCAGACGCAGGAAACACGUAUUUUUAAAUUUUGAAUGCUUGCAUCCAUUUAUGUAUUUUAUUUUUAUUGAUAUAUAGUUGGAUUCACAUUGAUGCUUUCACUGUGAUGACUGGUGUAGGUAAGUGCAUUCACUGUGAUGACUGUUGCAUGUACGUAACACAUUUUGAUUCUGUUUGGUUCCCAUCUCACCCUGGCCAUUUCCCUCCAUUCGCAAAGCCCUUCCCACCUCCUCAGGGCCAAUUGUUCUAUUUCCUGUCAUUUUUCUCUCAUUUUAUCCAAAAUGUGGGAGUCCAGCUAUGUCCUCCAUAACUGAAAGUUGCAUUGUCUAAGAAUAUUCAUCAAAGUCCACAUCACUACCUAAAUCAUUGUGAAGCUUUUUUUAAAACCUAGAACAGACUUCCUCAAGGAAAGACCUUGAUGGAUGUUAGCUAUAUGAAUUUUGUUAAUUAAAUGUGUGACUUUUUUGUUAAUUAAAGGUUUUUUUCUGGAAGGAAAGUAUGUAUAGUCUAGUCUAGCUACCAGCUCCCAUCCUAAAAUGGCAAUUAAAUAGGAAACACCUCAUAAUACGGUUCCUUUCCCAUUUCUCUUUGUAUAUUUGUAGGACUCGAGUUUUGGGAAAGAUAUCUCCAUGCAAUUAUUGUGAUUGGGUGGUUAUUUAUUCUCUCUCAAACCACUACAGAGUUUAAUAACAGUGAGUGAAAAAAAUAAUAAUCACUGGAAACAACUUUAAAGAUCUAUUUUUAAUUCUGUACCUCAUCUGAAUUUCCCCUCCUGCUACCUAAACACAUGAUUAUAUAUUUAUUUUCCUUGUCUAAUUUCCAUUUUCACGUUGGUUUUCAUAUUAGCUCUGUUUCUGAAUUUAAUUAACAUUUUAUAUUUCUUAAUUUCUUUCCCGGAUUUGACUAAUUUUACCUUAUUAGCACUUCAAAGUCAGACAGAGAACGCCUAGCCGAGUCUUUAAUUGCAUGAGUAGUUAAUUUCCUAUUAGAGGCUGGCUCAGACGCGCACUAAGUGGUCUUUAACCUUUUCAACGUGCACAGCAAAAUUAGCGUGCGGUUGUCUUGAAACUUUAUGCAUAUUAAUUUUCUCCAAAUUCAUAUAAAAUAAUAAAGAAGCGAGAAUUGUGUAUAUAAUAAAAAUUAUCUGUAUAAUAAGACCAUUUUAGACUUAAAUAUAUAUUCUUAUUCCCUCAAAAUUUGGUAUAUUUGUUAGUACAUUACAAUUGUUUUAAUCCAGAACCUUUAUUUUCGUAAGGCUUGCAGAACAGGGCUAUGUACCCUAAUUUAAGUUUUACAUGAUUUGUUACAUUCAGUGGUUGUUUGUUUAGUUAUUUUGUAAGAGAUAUCAGUGCAAUUUAUUUUCUUUCUUUCUUUCUUUCUUUCUUUCUUUCUUUCUUUCUUUCUUUCUGAAUGCUUAAGUGACACAAUGCAUUUCAGGAGUUUCCUCUGAAAUGUUUGUUGAGGGUUAUAAUGUUCUCUGACAGGGUAUUUCCCAUGACCCAGUUUAUGAAGAGAUUUCUUCAGCCUUUAAACUAUCUACUACUGCAAGAUUGAAUAAGUUAUCUUGUAAUAUAUUCAUAUAUUCUACCCAUUUAGCUGACUCUACAGAUUGUUUCUAACAUUUAUCAUUUGAAAAAAAUUAAAUAUGCCUAAGAUUAAAUAUCGCCAGAGAUGGUGAAGUGCCACUUAAUACGUAUUUCUACCAAGGGAAACAACUUGUGUUAGACUAAAUAAGGGUCAGAAGCAGCCCAAGAGUUCAGCUCCAGUGCUGAGAAUGAGACGGGAGGAUCACAAAGUUGGUGCCCUUUGGGUAACUUGGGGCUAGUGAGCCUCUGUCUCAAAAUAAUCAGAAAAGAGCUAGAGAUGUAGCUUUCUGGACAUGCCCUGAUUUAAAGGUGUAGUUCUUUAAAAAAACAACAUGAAAGAACAAAAUGAGGAUGGAGAAAAGGAAAGGAGGAAGGAAGGAAUCAAGAAAGAAACGAAAGAAAUAGCAGAGGUAGAAAUAAAAAGGAGACACAAUCACAGGUAGUAAUACAAAUUUAUGUUUUUCCUUGGAUUUAUUUUUCCAUUGCAGUUUUUCCUCACAGUGUAUGUCUGUAUAUGCAGUGGUAUGACACAGCAUGAAAAAGAAGAUUUGGGAAAGCACAUGGCCACUAUUUUGAGUCUCCAAUCAGAAAGUCUUGAAAGUGAGUUUGUAAUAAUUACAAGAACAGAAAAUUUAGAAAUUUAAUUUAUGAUAACCACAAUUUAUGAACACUUUCUUGGUGGUCCUAAAUUCCUUGAGGGAUGAUAAUAAGAUAAAAAAAAAUCAAAUUGGAUAGUGAAAAUUCUUCCUGAUGAGAGAGAGAGAGAGAGAGAGAGAGACAGAGAGAUACAGAGAGACAGAGAGAGACAGAGAGAGAGAGACAGAGAGAGACAGAGAGACAGAGAGACACAGACAGAGAGACAGACAGAGACAGAGACACAGAGACAGAGAGACAGACAGAGAGAGAGAGGAAGAAGAAAAAGAAGAAGAAGAAGAAGAAGAAGAAGAAGAAGAAAUAGAAGAAGAAGAAGAAGAAGAAGAAGAAGAAGAAGAAGAAGAAGAAGAAGAAGAAGAAGAAGAAACAACUAACUCCUCAUUGGGUGUGGCAGUACAUUCCAGUAAUCCCAGCCCUCUGGGAAGCAGAGGCAGGAGGAUUACAAAUUCUAGCACAGCCUGGGUUACUUAGUAAUACUCUGUUUUAAACUAAACUUAAGUAGACUAGACUAGACCCAACUAGAGUAGACCAGAUUAGACUUGACUAGAUUGAACUGAACUGAACUGAACCAAACUAAAUUGGGGAUUAUGGCUCAGGGAGAAAGCCACUAUUGAAAAUUAAUGUCAGUUCAAAUGCGAAAAAUGAGCAGAACCAUCUUUGCUGUGCAUUAACAUAGAAGACACAAAGCCCGUCACCUUGAAAGGUCACUUGUCAAGCUCACGGUGUGGACAAUGAAUAUCGUUUUGGACCUCCUGUCUUCUACAGAAUACAGCACCCUCCAGAAUACUCUGACCAUUGGGAAGCAGGCGUACCAAUGAUUCUUUGCAGACGAAGUUUAGGAACAAAAAUCUCAGAUUUGAGAGAGAACGACCUUAAGCAUUUCGUUUUACAGAUUUUGUGUUGGGAAUUGUGGAGUGUCAUGCACUGUGUGUUCGCCAAACAGGUAAGAACACUCAAGAUGGUUUCUUAACAUAGAAAGCUUCUAAUCCUAAGCAUGACACAUUAUGACCUUUCAUAAGGAACAUAACUUAAAUGUAUUAGAUAAAACUGAAUUUAAUGCAUCAUAUCAUGCUGUGGGUUGGAUGAUCAUUCCACAAAGACCCACAGGAUGCCACUGGGGUGACAGGUUAGAGUCACUGGCAGAAAGGGCAUAGUCUUUAGGUUAUUGGUAGUGUGAACUUUAGAGAGAUAUCAGCAGAGAAAACAGGCUCAAAAUUUGAGCCCAGCCCAGCCAGGACAAAUAAAUUACUGGUUUAAGAAGACCCUGUGUCAAAAUUUAAAAUAGUAAUACCAAAGGACUCAAGAUACAGCUCAGUGUGAAGGCGUUUAGAUCAUCCAUCCAUCAGUACUGUGUAUGUGUAAGAAAAAGAGAAAAAAGAAAUAGGGCCCAACAGUCAGAGAUUGUCACCUCUGUGCCUAUAAAUCAAAAUAAUGCUUUCUUUCCUCUUUUUGUGUUGUUUCAUGUCAGAUAUUAGCUACCGUCAGAGGAAGCUAACAUACAGGAUUUGACAUUGAUGUUAAAAUCACCUACCAAAGCAUCUCUAGUGGGAUAUACACUUAAAACUCUGCAAAUUGGUUCAUGUAAAAGCUAUGCACGCUACUGUCCUUACGUGAAUUCUAGCCCAGGUAAAGCAAUGCAGGUCUUUAAAAAAUGUAUCAUUCUUUAAAUAUCCAUGAGAUACAUACUGUAAUGUUCAGCUAACUAUAUAAGACUGCGUAUCACAUAUAAAAUGAAUACCUGUAAAAUUUGCUGACAGCACAGUAAGAAAUGAGCCAGAAGAAUCACUGUUUUUCUGGCUUUUUUUUUGGCAAGUGUUUGCACACAACACACCAGCUACUUGGUUUUAUGUUUUAUGUGCCUUGGGGGAAACACUUUUCACUUUUUAUUGACCAGUGGCACAGAGCAUAUGUCUCUAAGUAUACCUUCAUAAUAAAUAAAGAGAAGUUAGUGGAGCUUAUUAAUUUACUUAUGUAUGCUGUGUAUUGUCUGUUAAUGAUUCUAGUGCCUCCCAAUUCAGGAGACACGUUAACCUCCAGCAAAAUAAAGGUUGGAAAAAAAUAACCAGAAGAAUUAUAACAAAGUCAGAGAAACACAAAAUAAAUUAUGAUAACCAUUUUAAGACACAAAUGGAAUGAUUUCAGAUAACACGCCUUUUAACUUCUGACUUCAUUUGCUAUGGUCUUUAAUUCCUAAUUUUACUUCGAAGCCAAAUGAAUCAGCAUGGUAAUUUGAACUUGUACCAUCUAUUAAAGAGCUGGUAGCUUAAUACUAAAGUCUAUUUUCACAUCAAAGAGAAAAGAAUAAAAAGCCAGCAGUUUAGGGAUUUCUCAAGAACACAGAUGCUCAAAACCACAGCCCUCAAGGUUGUAAAUCACAGCAUGGACAUGGAUAAUUUAAUAAUACUUUAGGCAAUGUUCCCAGAUUUUAGCACUUUUUUUUUCACUGUACCACUCAGUGAGGGAGAAACCUUGGUGCCAAUGGCUAAACGCACUUUACAAACACUGGCUAAUUAAUCUGCUUGUCACCAUGGUGAUAUAAGGCUUUACACACUUAUAUAUUUAAACGAUCAUUUAUUUUUAUCAUACAAGCAUGAGCUACAUUAAUAUGGUCACAAAAUUGCUGGCCGGAGCAAGAGGGAGAAAAAUCACAAUGAUUCUAUUAUUUCGUAAUACAGAGAAAAGGCAGUUGGGGUGCAUGGGCAAUAAUGUUUUAAAAAUUAUUCAAAAAAUCGCUUACCAACAAGAUUAUCCCGUUGGCUAGAAAGUAAGACAGUCUCGAGCUUGAAGCUCUCAAUAAUGGUCUACUCUUGGUCAAGCUGCUAAAUUUUUCCUUUUUAGCUGUUGCAUUGACAGUUAGAGCUGAUGGAUCUAAUUAUUCAUGGCUCAAGGUAAGGGUUCAACAGAUAGUGGCUGUUAUUCUGAGGCUUAGUAUCGGAGGUGACCAUUACAAAUGGAGCCCCAAACAUACUGCUUAAUGGGACCCUGCCCUGCUUUCAAACAUUUUAACUAUUUGCUUAUUUGCAUAUUCAUAAAGCAAUGUAUGAGCACUGCCCUCCAGGCUAACGCAGAGGUCAAUAGCACAUACUAUCGCUCUGAGUAUACAUUUCUCAUUCGCAGACAUAACCAACCAUAGAAUAAAAAUGUCCAUCAAACGGAGCUCCCAGAAAAGCCCAAAAUGCAAACCUUGACUUUUCCUUGUGCUGAUAGCUCUGUUGUAAAAGAACUUGAAUGCAGAAAUAAGCCAGGAUGACCUGAUAUGACCUAUCUUCUACUUAAUGGCAGAGAUAAACCUGUCAACAAUGCAAUACAUGUGAUUGCAAAAUUAGGGUAAGGUGGGAAUUCAAUAUGGCGCACCUCAAUGGUUGGAAGUUACCUAUCUCUCCAAGGCUCAGCGUGCUUCACGGACGCUCUUUUGUAAUCUAAUUUCAGAUGUAAUGCUAAACACUUUUCCCAUUUUUCCCCUUUUAAAUUCUACCUCUGGGGUUAUCUCAAACAAUAAGCAUCUUCUCUAGCUUUUCACUUUAUUUCCAAGAAAUGGGAUGGUCUCUAACAGAAAUCUGAGCAAAAUAAACUUUUGCUGGAUGACUAAAGCAAGUAAGUGAAGAACUAGAGAUAGAUUCACACACUCUGCUAUGAUCCCUGCAAUCCAUGAAGGGAAACCUGAUUUGAUGUCCGUACACUUCAAGCCAACAAGAGUUCUCAAAAAUAAUCAAACUUGGGAAAUGUUUUAACAAGAACUAAGGGAUUCAUAUGUAAAAUGUCCCAGUGUACAAACCAUUUAUCAGGAACAUUUCCCAAUAGAGAAUAGAAAAAGAAAAAUCAAGUAAAUAAGACAUAAAAACAAGACCACACAGGCUGGAAUGUGUUGGAUAUUUUUUACUCCCCACUUGAAAUUCAGGCAAUCACAUUGAAUUUCUGCUCGGUUUGCUUCUGAUAUUGUUUUUCCCUCCUCUUCCCUGAACCUGACUGUUGUCUCUUCAUGGUGAUUUUCAGAAAUCAUUUUAAGACUUUUUUUUUUGUCUACUCUCUGUGGGAAGCAAAGAAAAUAUUAGGAUCCCUAGCCAACCUUGGAGAAAGCAUGACACUCUGGUGCCAUGGUCCAUUCUUACAGUUCAUGGCAAAUGUAAGAGCUUAGUUUCAUUGUCAACCUAAUUGGCUUGGGUGUCACGUAGAGGAUUGAAGCGCAAUUCUGGAUGUAACUGGAUGGGUCAUAGAUGUCUGACCUUGAUAAAUGCAUCUAUUGACUGGCCCCUUCCUCUCUGGCACUGUUCCUUGGCUUCCACGAACUGAGCAACUUUGAAACCAUAAGUCAAAAAAAGGAAAUAAAACCCACUCUUGCUAAGAGUGUUGUGUUUCAGUGGUGAAAAGGUAACAAAUACAAUCAAUGUUCUGACUGUAUCAUUGAUACACUAUCACUUAGCUGUCCUAAGUCUUUUAUCCAGUUUCUGUUCCCCAAUUCUCACUCUGAGAUUUACUCACCACUGCGUAUAUAUAAACUCCAACUCCUAAACAGAGAUCGCCAGCAAUCGUGUUCCUGCAGAACAAAAUCACCAGCCACUCAGCAACAUACUGCAAAGACAUAAAAAUAAGUACUCAACCAGACAUAAAAGGUUAUAUCAACCAAGAGAUCCAGUCAAUUCACAUGUCUCUUUGCAACGAGAUGGAUAGAAAAAUAUCUUGUAUGUGUGAAGUGUAAGAUCAUCCACUCACAGAAACAAAGAGCCCUAUCAUGUACUACUCACAGAUGAACCUUGAAAAUAAUUCUAUAAUGGAUAUAAAUACACAAGCACACUUAGUCUGUGAUUCCGUGGAUCUUACAUGUUCAGGAAAAGCCAACUUGUGCUCCCCAAAAUGAAAAUCUUAUUCUGAUGCUGAGUUCCUCCAUGCCUGUUUUGAGGGGUGCAGGACCCUGUGAAGCCUCUUUGUAUGAAUACGUUUCUCCUGCUAUGGGAUCCUUCAACAUCAUUGAGAAGAUGCUGGUACCCAGUAGUGAAUUUUAUAAUCUUUAAAACUGCAAGAUGAAAUAAAUUUGUCUCUAUGAAUAACCAGAUCUCAGGUAUUCCAUGAUGCCCAGAAAAAAAUAGACUCUAAAAGCAAUCAGCCUGAUAACAUGGCUUCAUAGAACCACUUGUCAUGAAGAGGACACAGACAUGAAAGAGAAAAUAAAUAACCUAAGACUCUUAAACCAGAUAUUGGAUUUUCAGGGUGAGGUGUUGCAUGCCUGUAAUCCCAGAACUCUGGAAGGCUGAGGCAGGAAAACAGAGUUUAUGCCCAGCCUGGGCAAUUUAGAAAAAAUCCUGUCUCAAAAUUUACAAAAGAAUAAAUAAGAUCAUGGUAAAUAACCCAACACCAAGGCCCUGAAUGCAAAAUCCCCAACACCACAGAUAAGUGUUCAAACUAUCUAUCAAUAAAAACAUUGGGAAUUUCCAUAAAUUUGAAGGGUUUUUUUUUUAACAUGUAAUUGUCUCUCAAGUGUGAGCAGGGAGCAAUAAACACCUCUUUUUUCUCCACCUUAGUCAUGCGACCAAAUCUCCAAGAAACUUUUUGCAAAUCUUAAGUACAAGGUCAACCUGGGACCCUGGCAUCAGAAACUUGGAAAUCAGAAAACAGGCUUCCAUGCUUUCAUUGAGUGCUUUAAUAAUGAUACCAUGUAUUCUUGAUAACUGAGAGCUGUCUUACCUGCCAGUAUUUUCAAAGUACUGAGUGAUCAUCUUAAAAUUCAAUAAGGUGUCUUGGUUACUUUUUACUCAUCGCUGAGACAAAAUACCUGAAGCUCAAAGUUGGGAAAGAAAAGGUUUAUUUCUUACAGUUUUUGGAGGUUUCAGUCCACACUCAGUUGUCUCCAAAAGAGGCAGGCAUGCUGGGCUGCAGUUCAUGGCGGCCGCCAGCGGCAAACUCAAACCAGCAAAGAGAAAAACGCACCUUCUUCCUGCCAUUACAUCACAUCCUGGCUCCACCCCUUUGUGGGUGGAGCACUGACACCAUCAAUCCAAGCACUCUACAAUGAACCAUCACAAAUGAACAAUGCAAACUCAUGAGUCCUGGGGGACAUAAACCAUGACAUAAGGCCAUUGAAAAAAUAACUUCAAAUCCUUAAUCAGAGAAGACCAAAUCCAGGAUCAUUUACCCAACUGCAAGAAAUGAGGCAAACCUGAGGAACUCCAAGGUUAACCAACAUUUUCAAAUCAGAUCCCUGGUCCACAUUAACUUCCUAAAACUGUUACAUCACAAUGCUUAUUUUCUGGUUUGUUUUGGAAACUGGAAAUCACCAGCUACAUAAUGUGGAAAAAGUGUAAAUCGCAUUGCAAAUGUAUGUUUACUGUUCAGACCUUAAAUCUGUUUAAAUAAAAAUCCAGAAAUUUUUCUCACCAUAAAAUACUGCUUGAUUUUUAAUGGUUAUUUUCUACUUGUAAAUUAUUGACUGCAGUACAAAUGGUCAAUAAAUGCAUGAAGAAUUGUUAAUUCUUGUUGGCCUUUCUGGAAGUGACAAUUAAAACAAUGAGAUUCCACCGUACCCCAUAAAUAAUAGCUGUCAGCAAUAAAUCACAGAAUAAUACAUGCUGGUGGGGCUGUGUACCUAACUGUGCUGUAGGUGGGCAAGUGAACUAGCACAAUCACUGUGCAGAAGACUCAAUGAACCUAAAACUAGAAAUUCCAUUUGGCCGAGUUGUUUCUGUUCUUGGUAUCUUCCGGAAAGAGAUAAAGGCAUCUCAAUUUCAAUCAUCUAUGCACACCCAUAUUUAUAGUGCACAAUUCACCAUAGCUAAAUCUUGGAAGUAGCCAUUAACAGGUCAAAAAGUAUGGUAUGUAUAGGAAUGGAAUAUUUCUGUGCCAUAAAGAAAGAUCAAUACUCAUUUGUAGGAAAAUGGGUACAUCACAGCAUUCAGUGCAAUAAAUCAGACACACAAGCUUAAAUAUCCCAUUUUUUCUUGGGUUACCCAAGGCCAGGGAUUUAGCUCAGCAACACAAGCACCUGCCUGGCAAGUGUGAGGUCGUGAGUGUGAUCCACCAUACCAAUAGAUAAAUAAAUAAAACCCAAAACAAAAAUAAUGAGCAAAAUAAAGAUAGAUAAGAGUUAAUAAGGAGGUAACUCUUUUUCAAAAUGUGUAAAGAUUAAGCAGUGCAAAUGUGUAUUGAUAAAAAAAAUUUAAAACCAAUGGCUUUUUAAAAGGGAUUUUGCAUCUAACAUAAUUUUCCUUUCAUUUAUUAUCUUUUCUUAUUAGUGUUGGAUUCUUACUAGGGUUGCUGUGGUGUUUUGUGUUUUGUUCCAUUUUAUUUUAUAUUUUUUGCAGUGGUUUGAAGAAAUAACAACACUCAAAGUGCCCUUUUGGUAUAUCAGUGAGAAGAGUACAAGAAAUGAUUGAUUUCUCAUUAUAGCUACAUUUGUGAUUCGCUAUUGGGUAACGGAUUCUGAACUUUCUCAUGAUCCACGAGUUUACUGUUUAGGAGGAAUUUGACAAGUCAUAGGGUAUCAUUUUUCACCUCUUAAUAAAGAGAAAUAAUUAGAAAUA
Cavia porcellus (domestic guinea pig) is the source of this 13517-nucleotide long non-coding RNA. RefSeq lists it as uncharacterized. The transcript has 2 exons. The record is from RefSeq and is a predicted model, not a curated record. Lineage: Eukaryota; Metazoa; Chordata; Mammalia; Rodentia; Caviidae.